GACGGCUAAGAUUUAGAGUUUCCAUGUCAACUAACUCACUCACAAAACGUUGACCAUAUAUAUACAUGAUAAUACUAUAUAUGUAAAUAUGUAAUACUGCAAAGAAGCUUUUUAAGGCUCGGCUCCAAAUGAUUUUUAGCAGAGAGCCGUCAAUAUGGUAUGUGUGCAAGCAUGUUUUUUUUGACUAUAUUACUAUGUUUUUAUUAUUUAACUAUUUUUGCCUUCAACUUCAC
RNAcentral lists this long non-coding RNA (233 nucleotides) under Capsella rubella. RNAcentral describes it as "long non-coding RNA (CRUB_LNC000210)". The record is from RNAcentral. Lineage: Eukaryota; Viridiplantae; Streptophyta; Magnoliopsida; Brassicales; Brassicaceae.